RNAcentral lists this ribosomal RNA (301 nucleotides) under uncultured bacterium. RNAcentral's name for it is "partial 16S ribosomal RNA". It matches the Rfam family "Bacterial small subunit ribosomal RNA", at positions 509 to 807 of the family's 1533-position model. The record is from RNAcentral.
CAGUCGCCGCGGUAAUACGGAGGGAGCUAGCGUUGUUCGGAAUUACUGGGCGUAAAGCGCGCGUAGGCGGUUACUCAAGUCAGAGGUGAAAGCCCGGGGCUCAACCCCGGAACUGCCUUUGAAACUAGGUGACUAGAAUCUUGGAGAGGUCAGUGGAAUUCCGAGUGUAGAGGUGAAAUUCGUAGAUAUUCGCAGGAACACCAGUGGCGAAGGCGGCUAACUGGUCCAUAACUGACGCUGAGGUGCGAAAGCGUGGGGAGCAAACAGGAUUAGAUACCCCUGUAGUCCCUGUCUCUUAUAC